AACGAACGCUGGCGGCAGGCCUAACACAUGCAAGUCGAGCGCGCCCUUCGGGGUGAGCGGCGGACGGGUGAGUAACGCGUGGGAACGUGCCCUUUUCUACGGAAUAGCCUCGGGAAACUGAGAGUAAUACCGUAUACGCCCUUUGGGGGAAAGAUUUAUCGGAAAAGGAUCGGCCCGCGUUGGAUUAGGUAGUUGGUGGGGUAACGGCCUACCAAGCCGACGAUCCAUAGCUGGUUUGAGAGGAUGAUCAGCCACACUGGGACUGAGACACGGCCCAGACUCCUACGGGAGGCAGCAGUGGGGAAUCUUAGACAAUGGGGGCAACCCUGAUCUAGCCAUGCCGCGUGAGUGAUGAAGGCCUUAGGGUUGUAAAGCUCUUUCAGCUGGGAAGAUAAUGACGGUACCAGCAGAAGAAGCCCCGGCUAACUCCGUG
RNAcentral lists this ribosomal RNA (433 nucleotides) under uncultured bacterium. RNAcentral describes it as "partial 16S ribosomal RNA". It matches the Rfam family "Bacterial small subunit ribosomal RNA", at positions 29 to 507 of the family's 1533-position model. The record is from RNAcentral.